This 2123-nucleotide long non-coding RNA is filed under the name Triticum aestivum (bread wheat). Its description in RNAcentral is "long non-coding RNA (TAES_LNC026985)". The record is from RNAcentral. Lineage: Eukaryota; Viridiplantae; Streptophyta; Magnoliopsida; Poales; Poaceae.
GGAGCACCAGUUGCUUCAAGGCUCACUGACGUUCAUAGCAAUAUGGCACAAUUACAGGCUCAAAUGGAGAAUCGUUAGGAAAUUUUUAGAGUUCCAAGGUAAAUAUUGAGUGUGAUUGAUAACUGAUAUACAAUGGCCUCAUAUAGAAAUGAACAAAAUCUACUGCCGGGAAAUUUGUCUAAUUGCAAGUAUAUUUUUCUCACUCCAAGGUAAAAAUUCAACUAUCCAGAACAGUGGCCUGAUAAGUAUUGGGGAAAAUUUCUCGCUUCAAGCAAGACCAUGUAUGGAUAAAUCCAAGGUGAUCCAACAGUCUAGAACAAUGGCCGAAUGCCCUAAUCCUUAUGCAUUAGGUGCACGAGUGUCGAGUGCAGGCAUAACUGAGACAUCCAAAUUUUCAAACCUCUAAUGCGUAACAAACACGUAACAAAAUAAGACGUGCUCACAUGCAUAAAGUAUGGUUUGAGGAUGAAAAAAUCUGCCCUAUGUCUCUCCGGGCGUGCUCUUUGAUGGCCUCUCCGCAUCCACUUCGUUGGUUCUCCAGUUCUGCUCCUCGUGGGCGAGACAACCGAGGUGGAAGUGGAAGGACGCAACCAGGUAGAGGAAGAACAUACGGAACCCACAUCAUUGGGGCUGGCCGACCACCGGUUGCAGGUCGAGACGUCGAGUUCCAGGACCGGCGGGCCUUUGGUGCUGCUGGGAGAUUGUUGGGGAGCCGCCGCUCUCUCUCAAGCUCGUCGAGUGAUGGGGAGCCCAGCCGCCAUCGGACUGCCGCCAAGCCAUCCGUCGGCUCCUCAGCGGACGGAGACAAGGAGAUUAGCGGCGGGCAACAUGACACGGGGAGUGGUGCUCUCCGUCCACGCCAUCCUCUUGAUGGCGGGUUCCCUGGCUGCAAAGCUAGGAGGUAUGGCUGUGGCGAUUUCUUCGGAGAGAUCGCAAACAAUAGGGUGGGGGAGGAGAGGACCAGGAGGCCAAGCAUUUAUAGGCGGCCCAAAAGAAAUGUACAAACGGAUUCGACUGGAAAAGCCUAGAAGAACCAGCACUGACCUAAAUUCAUUACGUGUCAAUUGGAAGAAUUGUAGUCAACGGCAUGGGGGUCGGACGUGGCUACAUGCAUGGCCCGUGAGGGGCGCGUGAAGCGGGAAACAACCCACGUGAAGCUCGAAGCACCACGUAAAAUUGAACGUGUAGACCAGUAAAAAAAUAAGGAACUCUCUGGUAGAACGUGCAGCACACGCAUCGGGAGACAAGAACUGGCAACCACGACGUCAAAUCGAACGUGUUUAAAAGAUCCAACCAGAGAAAAAAAUCAGGCCCAAAGAACUACAAUGUACACGCAUCACACUCCAAACAGCGAUAUUUUCCCCCCCCAAAAAAACAGGUAAAUGAAUCCCUUACGGGCCUAGUCUUUCAUGGCAACAAAAAGCAAGGUAAGAAGAGAAGUAGUUUACCAAAGGGAGUGUGCAGUGGAGCACCAGUUGCUUCAAGGCUCACUGACGUUCAUAGCAAUAUGGCACAAUUACAGGCUCAAAUGGAGAAUCGUUAGGAAAUUUUUAGAGUUCCAAGGUAAGUAUUGAGUGUGAUUGAUAAAUGAUAUACAAUGGCCUAAUAUAGAACUGAACAAAAUCUACUGUUGGGAAAUUUGUCUAAUUGCAAGUAUAUUUUUCUCACUCCAAGGUAAAAAUCCAACUGUCCAGAACAGUGGCCUGAUAAGCAUUGGGGAAAAUUUCUCGCUUCAAGCAAGACCAUGUAAGGAUAACUCCAAGGUGAUCCAACAGUCUAGAACAAUGGCCGAAUGCCCUAAUCCUUAUGCAUUAGGUGCAUGAGUGUCGAGUGCAGGGAUAACUGAGACAUCCAGAUUUUCAAACCUCUAAUGCGUAACAAACACGUAACAAAAUAAGACAUGCUCACAUGCAUAAAGUAUGGUUUGAGGAUGAAAAACCCUGCCCUAUGUCUCUCCGGGCGCGCUCCUUGCUGGCCUCUCCGCAUCCACUUCGUUCGUUCUCCAAUUCUGCUCCUCGUGGGCGAGAUAGCCGAGGUGGAAGUGGAAGGACGCAACCAGGUAGAGGAAGAACAGAAGGAACCCACAUCAUUGGGGCUGGCCGACCGCCGGUUGCAGGUCGAGU